Molecule: ribosomal RNA, 253 nt
Filed under: uncultured bacterium
Lineage: Bacteria
Description: partial 16S ribosomal RNA
Rfam family: Bacterial small subunit ribosomal RNA
Source: RNAcentral
UACAGAGGGUGCGAGCGUUGUCCGGAAUCACUGGGCGUAAAGGGCGCGUAGGUGGCCCGACAAGUCAAUGGUGAAAGCUCGACGCUUAACGUCGAGUCGGCCACUGAUACUGUUGGGCUGGAGCACUGUAGAGGCUCAUGGAAUUCCGGGUGUAGCGGUGGAAUGCGUAGAGAUCCGGAAGAACACCGGUGGCGAAGGCGGUGAGCUGGGCAGUUGCUGACACUGAGGCGCGACAGCGUGGGGAGCAAACAGC